Molecule: long non-coding RNA, 276 nt
Filed under: Elaeis guineensis (African oil palm)
Lineage: Eukaryota; Viridiplantae; Streptophyta; Magnoliopsida; Arecales; Arecaceae
Description: long non-coding RNA (EGUI_LNC022598)
Source: RNAcentral
AGUGAUGGAGAGAUGCGGGUGGCAAUCUAGGGACUCGAAAAGCUGGUUGAAGACUUUGGUGGUGUUGUUGGUGGCCAGAUCUUCAGUCUUGCCUUUGAGAGCAUCUUGAAACAAUACAAAAAAAUGAAGUCCCCCACCAAGCAGGGCUCUUUGAUGCCUUAGUUAGAUCAUCACAAUAAAAUAGAGGAGGUUCUAUAGAGAAAAAGAUAAAGAGAGAGAGGUAGAGUUUGUGUUUGUAUCAAAGUGUCUAUAAUGAAGAGGGGAGAGAGGGGGGAG